Molecule: non-coding RNA, 30 nt
Filed under: Rattus norvegicus (Norway rat)
Lineage: Eukaryota; Metazoa; Chordata; Mammalia; Rodentia; Muridae
Source: RNAcentral
UAGCUAGAAUUGACACAUGAGGACCUUUUC